GAGAGCGCCAUGGUACCCCAGCAGGUGAGGCUUUCUGAAUGGUGUCUUAUUGCUCUAAUGUGUUCUUCUUCUAUUACUUAUGUUGUUACCUCUUACCUUGAUGGCAUCCUUUCCUAGUUGACUGAAAUGAUAGUUUAUGGUGAACUUGAUCCUUUUUGUGAUAGAAGUGGUUUAAUUGCUGCUACUAUGAUGCAGAGAGAGUUUUGGCUGCAAGC
RNAcentral lists this unclassified non-coding RNA (215 nucleotides) under Hevea brasiliensis (rubber tree). The record is from RNAcentral. Lineage: Eukaryota; Viridiplantae; Streptophyta; Magnoliopsida; Malpighiales; Euphorbiaceae.